ACGAUGUUCCGCUGCAAUCAUAAAAAGGAAUGUAAGAGCAUCUG
This is a regulatory RNA element of Bacillus sp. 1NLA3E, 44 nucleotides long. It matches the Rfam family "Ribosomal protein L19 leader". Rfam says of the family: This family is a putative r-protein leader autoregulatory structure found in B. subtilis and other low-GC Gram-positive bacteria. Lineage: Bacteria; Bacillati; Bacillota; Bacilli; Caryophanales; Bacillaceae. The record is from Rfam.